CAACGACUUUCGGCAACGGAUAUUUCGGCUCUCGCAUCGAUGAAGAAAGUAGCGAAAUGCGAUACUUGGUGUGAAUUGCAGAAUCCCGUGAACCAUCGAGUCUUUGAACGCAAGUUGCGCCCGAAGCCAUCCGGCCAAGGGCACGUCUGCCUGGGCGUCACACACCGUUGCCCCCCUAAAUCCCUCUGACACUGCCCAAUAUGGUGCAUAGGGACCACGAGUGGCGGAUGAUGGCCUCCCGUGGGCCAAGGCUCGCGGUUGGUCUAAAUUUGAGUCCUCGGUCACGGUUUCUGUGGCGAUAGGUGGUUGUCGAUCAUUCGGUGCCCCGCCACGUUCUCCGGACAAAAGCAUCGAGAGACUCGACAAACUUGACCCCAAUGCGCCCCAUGUGGGUGCUUCCAACGCGACCCCAGGUCAGGCGGGG
RNAcentral lists this ribosomal RNA (424 nucleotides) under Artocarpus sp. J242. RNAcentral describes it as "eukaryotic LSU rRNA". The stretch from base 5 to 160 matches the Rfam family "5.8S ribosomal RNA". Lineage: Eukaryota; Viridiplantae; Streptophyta; Magnoliopsida; Rosales; Moraceae. The record is from RNAcentral.